GGCCACUCCAAACACACAAACAAACACUCUCUUUCUCUUUCCUUCUUUCCAACCAGAAGAAACCGCCAGAAAAGGGAGAAAGAGCGUUGUGUUGUUGUUGACUUGAGAGUUUCUUUGUUGUGUGUGGGAAUGGCCAUCAAUAAUGGCGAGGGAAGUGAAGGAGGAACAUUGCAAAGGCUUCUUUACAUGUGGGGUUACCUUCCCGGAGCUUUGCCGCAGAGGACGCCGUUAUUGACGCCCGUUCCUGUUAGGUUUCCGCCGUCUGGGUACUCUUGGAAAGAUGUUUGUGGUGGUGGCUGUGGAUUCGCUAUGGCUAUCUCUGAACCGGGGAAGCUCAUCACAUGGGGCUCAACAGAUGAUCUAGGCCAAAGUUAUGUGACUUCAGGCAAGCAUGGGGAAACACCAGAGCCUUUUCCUCUUCCAACUGAAGCCUCUAUUGUAAAAGCAGCAGCUGGAUGGGCUCAUUGUGUUGCUGUAACAGAACAUGGAGAAGUAUAUACAUGGGGAUGGAAAGAAUGCAUUCCCUCUGGGAGGGUAUUUGGGGAACCAUCAACUGGGGUAAGUCUCGAGAAAGAUGUGCCAGGAAGGCAAAGUCCAUUGUCCACAGAGCAAGGUAUGUCUGACCUUUUUACAGUGACCAUUUAUAUAUAGCUAGCUGUCCCUCCCAAGGAGCGGUCUAUGCAAGCGAAGGUGCACCCAAAAAGGAGUGGGGAAGGAGGAGAAUUGCAACAAUAUAGGAUAGAAUCUUCGCAACCUCAAAAGAAAGAAGGAAGAAGCUUUAUGGUUUACCCCUCUAUGAUGAACCCCCAUUCACCACCUUGAUGUACUGCCUCUAGUGAUCAUCCCUCCUUGGGAGGGACUGUGAGCUGUUGUUCUCUUCUAGGUAACUGAUGUAGAGUUGUUUUGCAAUAGCGAGCCCUCGUUCUCAAGGCUCAAGAUCUACUGGAGGUACUGCUUCCAGUAACAGCGGAGAAGAAAGUACAAAGCGAAGGAGAGUAUCUUCAGCAAAGCAAACAGCUGAAAGCUCAUCAUCCAGUGAUGAUACUCUGACAGCAUUUCCUUGUCUUGUCACACUAAACCCAGGGAUAAGGAUAGCUACUGUUGCUGCUGGUGGACGUCACACCCUAGCAUUGUCAGAUACAGGACUAGUGUGGGGUUGGGGCUAUGGAGGUGAAGGGCAGCUUGGUUUGGGUUCCAGAAUACGUAUGGUUUCCUCUCCUCAUCUUGUUCCUUGUAUUGAUUCCUCUUACUAUGGUAAAGAUUGGUCUACAACAUUGGCUCGAGGAAGCAUAGGGUCAGAUGGUCAGAAUUUUAGAAUUCCUGGAAGUUAUGUCAAGAAAAUUGCUUGUGGAGGUCGACAUAGUACAGUAAUUACAGAUGCUGGAGCUUUGCUUACUUUUGGUUGGGGACUCUAUGGACAGGUAAAGUAGAAUAUGGUGGACAAAAGCAAUCUAGAUGUUGAAGAUGUGGUUCACUCUAACAAGGGAUUAUCUAUUCUAUUCCAUUGCAAUAUUUUAUCUUUCUUGUCACCCUGUUGAUCAAUGCAUGUUUAUGCUUGUUAUACUGAAUUAAUGUUACCUUUUUUGGUCAAGUGUGGGCAAGGAACUACGGAUGAUGAACUAAGCCCAACCUGUGUAUCUUCUUUAUUGGGUAUCCAAAUUGAAGGAGUUGCUGCAGGACUGUGGCACACAGUAUGUACAACUGCUGAUGGGGAUGUCUAUGCAUUUGGUGGGAAUCAGUUUGGGCAGCUGGGAACCGGGGCUGAUCAAGCUGAGACUCUACCAAGUCUAGUGGAUUCUCCAAGUUUGGAAAAUACGCAUGUAAAGAACAUAUCUUGUGGUGCUCGUCACACUGCUUUAAUAACAGUAUGGAUGAAUAACCUGUUGUCAGGACAACUGGAGAGAAAAUUUUGGGAAAAAAGGCUUUUAUUUAUUUAUUUUGUCAAAAAUAUGGGAUUCUGGAGCUACCGUGAAAUGAUGUUAGCUGUUUGGUGAAAAGAUUCUUCCACAAUGACAAUGGUGCUAGUCAAACUAAACAGUCAUUGGAGAGGGUUGGACAUGAAUGGGUUAAAUAACAUCUCUGUUUUAGCCAAAGCCCAUCUGAUGCAAAACUAUCAGUGUAACUGAAUAAGAUUGCUAGCAAAACUUGAAAUUCAUAUAUUACAUUACUGUUCUUAUUCUUACUUUUGCAAUAGUCAUCUGGGACUUGUGCAUAGUGAUGUUAUUUUUUAUUUAAUUGGCUAUUAAAAACACAUGUAAUUCACAUGUCUAUUAUUAAUAGAUUCUCAUUAGUUCUCUUUUGUUUCUGUUCUUGAAGAGGGUGGAAAAGUUUUCUGCUGGGGUUGGAACAAAUAUGGACAGCUGGGUCUUGGUGAUGUGAUUGACCGUAACGUUCCUUCCGAAGUCACAAUUGAAGGUUGUGUCCCUAAAAAUGUUGCUUGCGGUUGGUGGCAUACUCUUCUUCUGGCUGAGUCACCCACUUGAUGUCAUGGUUUAUUAGAGCCACUUGACCCAAUUUUGUUAGUUAGCGGUUCUUUUGGAAGGUAAAUCGUAAGUCUUGUAUAUGUACAUAUGGUAGUGGUAUACAUAUGCAUACAUGCUUGUAUUGUUUCAUGGUGUGAUCAACCAUGACUAGCUCCGGUAUUACACUAAAGAGCGAUAUCUGGCUUGGAAGGGACUAUUGGGUCCUUUCCACCUAUCUAACAUUCUUCACCACUGUGUACAUUUUAUUUUAGUGUAUAAAAAACAGUUCAGUGUAAUUAUAUGCACUGUAAGUUGGUUGUUGAGUAGGUGUAAAUGUAAUCUUGGAAUGUAACCAUGACUAGCAUGUAAUAUGAACUUGCUUUUUGUUUGUAAAUGUAAUCUUGGAAUAUACGACUGUAGUAAACGCUACAACAAUCUUUUACUGUAGUUAACCAGAAAUAAUAAAGAUCGUUUAUAUAAA
Abrus precatorius (Indian licorice) is the source of this 2943-nucleotide RNA transcript. It is a transcript of the gene named ultraviolet-B receptor UVR8-like, with no coding region annotated. Lineage: Eukaryota; Viridiplantae; Streptophyta; Magnoliopsida; Fabales; Fabaceae. The record is from RefSeq and is a predicted model, not a curated record. The transcript has 10 exons.